RNAcentral lists this ribosomal RNA (404 nucleotides) under uncultured bacterium. RNAcentral's name for it is "bacterial SSU rRNA". It matches the Rfam family "Bacterial small subunit ribosomal RNA", at positions 359 to 775 of the family's 1533-position model. The record is from RNAcentral.
GAAUAUUGCACAAUGGGCGAAAGCCUGAUGCAGCGACGCCGCGUGAGGGAUGACGGCCUUCGGGUUGUAAACCUCUUUCAGCAGGGACGAAGCGAAAGUGACGGUACCUGCAGAAGAAGCACCGGCCAACUACGUGCCAGCAGCCGCGGUAAUACGUAGGGUGCGAGCGUUGUCCGGAAUUACUGGGCGUAAAGAGCUCGUAGGCGGUUUGUCGCGUCGUCUGUGAAAUCCCGCAGCUCAACUGCGGGCUUGCAGGCGAUACGGGCAGACUCGAGUACUGCAGGGGAGACUGGAAUUCCUGGUGUAGCGGUGAAAUGCGCAGAUAUCAGGAGGAACACCGGUGGCGAAGGCGGGUCUCUGGGCAGUAACUGACGCUGAGGAGCGAAAGCGUGGGUAGCGAACAG